UACGGAGGGUGCAAGCGUUAUCCGGAUUCACUGGGUUUAAAGGGUGCGUAGGCGGGCAUUUAAGUCAGUGGUGAAAUACCUGAGCUUAACUUGGGAACUGCCAUUGAUACUAUUUGUCUUGAAUGUCGUGGAGGUUAGCGGAAUAUGUCAUGUAGCGGUGAAAUGCUUAGAUAUGACAUAGAACACCUAUUGCGAAGGCAGCUAACUACGCGAAUAUUGACGCUGAGGCACGAAAGCGUGGGGAGCAAACAGG
Molecule: ribosomal RNA, 253 nt
Filed under: uncultured bacterium
Lineage: Bacteria
Description: partial 16S ribosomal RNA
Rfam family: Bacterial small subunit ribosomal RNA
Source: RNAcentral